Molecule: non-coding RNA, 72 nt
Organism: Branchiostoma floridae (Florida lancelet)
Lineage: Eukaryota; Metazoa; Chordata; Leptocardii; Amphioxiformes; Branchiostomatidae
Source: Rfam
GACCGUGUGGCGCAGCGGGACCGUGUUCGCCUCGUGACCGAGAGGUUGCGGGUUCGAAUCCGGCUGCCGUUU